Pristis pectinata (smalltooth sawfish) is the source of this 150-nucleotide long non-coding RNA. RefSeq lists it as uncharacterized. The transcript is spliced from 3 exons. The record is from RefSeq and is a predicted model, not a curated record. NCBI's taxonomy places the organism in Eukaryota, Metazoa, Chordata, Chondrichthyes, Rhinopristiformes, Pristidae.
CUGGAAUUGUACCCAGGUCCCUGACUCCAGCUGUACUGAUGAGUUUAUUCCUGGCAGCUGGGAGAUCAAAUUAAGUGAGUGAUACCCAACACAUAUGAAGUGAUAAAGUUUGAGAACUACACUGCAGUAGAACUGCCCAAACUGGAUCCA